UAGCAGUGAAAUGCGUAGAGAUGUGGAGGAACACCGAUGGCGAAGGCAGCCCCCUGGGUCGACACUGACGCUCAUGCACGAAAGCGUGGGUAGCAAACAGGAUUAGAUACCCUGGUAGUCCACACCCUAAACGAUGCCAACUAGGUGUUGGGGAAGGAGACUUCCUUAGUACCGUAGCUAACGCGUGAAGUUGGCCGCCUGGGGAGUACGGUCGCAAGAUUAAAACUCAAAGGAAUUGACGGGGACCCGCACAAGCGGUGGAUGAUGUGGAUUAAUUCGAUGCAACGCGAAAAACCUUACCUACCCUUGACAUGCCAGGAAUCCUGCUGAGAGGUGGGAGUGCCCGAAAGGGAGCCUGGACACAGGUGCUGCAUGGCUGUCGUCAACUCGUGUCGUGAGAUGUUGGGUUAAGUCCCGCAACGAGCGCAACCCUUGUCAUUAGUUGCCAUCAUUUAGUUGGGCACUCUAAUGAGACUGCCGGUGACAAACCGGAGGAAGGUGGGGAUGACGUCAAGUCCUCAUGGCCCUUAUGGGUAGGGCUUCACACGUCAUACAAUGGUCGGUACAGAGGGUUGCCAAGCCGCGAGGUGGAGCCAAUCCCAGAAAGCCGAUCGUAGUCCGGAUUGCAGUCUGCAACUCGACUGCAUGAAGUCGGAAUCGCUAGUAAUCGUGGAUCAGCAUGUCACGGUGAAUACGUUCCCGGGUCUUGUACACACCGCCCGUCACACCAUGGGAGUGGGUUUCACCAGAAGUAGGUAGCCUAACCGCAAGGAGGGCGCUUACCACGGUGGGAUUCAUGACUGGGGUG
Molecule: ribosomal RNA, 808 nt
Filed under: uncultured Denitratisoma sp.
Lineage: Bacteria; Pseudomonadati; Pseudomonadota; Betaproteobacteria; Nitrosomonadales; Sterolibacteriaceae
Description: bacterial SSU rRNA
Rfam family: Bacterial small subunit ribosomal RNA
Source: RNAcentral